This 715-nucleotide long non-coding RNA is filed under the name Gallus gallus (chicken). Its description in RNAcentral is "lncRNA (ENSGALG00010006214.1)". Lineage: Eukaryota; Metazoa; Chordata; Aves; Galliformes; Phasianidae. The record is from RNAcentral.
UGUAUCUUACUUCCCCAAGAGGUGCACACGUAGAGGGGUUCCUUAAACCACAAAAUGCAGAGAGAUCUUCCCGAGGAGGCACACACGUAUUAAAUAAAUGCAAUUAGACAAAAUUCAUACAUCCUCGAGAGGUACACACAUAAAUAGUAAAGUUUCAGAGUAUGAAGCGAUCUUCCUGGAGAGGUGCUCACGUCUAAGUUAUCAAAAAGUAUCGCUUCUUGCAACUCCAGGAGGUACACGCAGAAAGUUUCAGACUAUUAUCUGGAAGGACAACACUCUCACGGCGGGUAUCCUGCCGACUACGCCAUAAAAAAUGUCUCGCUCCAAUUUAUAGGAGGGAGAGGAGGUUCUUAGAAAUAUGUAUGCCCGGCGUGAGAUUAAGAAACAGCGGUUCAAAUGUUGGUCCGACCAGUUUAUUAUAAAUGUUAAUAAGAGAGAUGGGGAAAGGGGAGGACGGACGCUAUUAAGGAUUGGGGUGAUGGGGAAGGGAAGGCGAGCGAUAGAAAAGAUAGAAAGAGGCAAGAAUUGCGUAAAGCGGGGAUAGUCACCACCAGGAUCCGGCAGCAGUCCCGUUGCACGACGUUCCGACGGUCCGAGGCCGAAGGGCAGGAGCAGCGAGGCCGGUCUGGGGCAGCGAGAGGAUGCAGGUCGGGGAGGAAGCAGCAGGUCUCAGGUAGCAGGCCCAGGGAAGUCCGUCAGCAAACGGUCCGUAGAG